This 204-nucleotide unclassified non-coding RNA is filed under the name Hevea brasiliensis (rubber tree). The record is from RNAcentral. Lineage: Eukaryota; Viridiplantae; Streptophyta; Magnoliopsida; Malpighiales; Euphorbiaceae.
AUUGAGUUUAGCUGGUGAAUUUCACCACAUGUUUGAGACUGUAUCAGCUUGCUUGCUUGCUUUCUCACUCAACCUCAAACUGAAAUUUGUUUCCCAUUUUCAUAUUUGAAAACUAAAUUUUAUUUGCUAGUUAUUUAGUUGUUUCAGUGGUUUAUGAGGAUGAGCUAUAUAUUAGAAGGAAGUCAGUUUUCUUGAAAAAUUCGG